RNAcentral lists this ribosomal RNA (3109 nucleotides) under Salmonella enterica subsp. enterica serovar Derby. RNAcentral describes it as "23S ribosomal RNA". It matches the Rfam family "Bacterial large subunit ribosomal RNA". The record is from RNAcentral. Lineage: Bacteria; Pseudomonadati; Pseudomonadota; Gammaproteobacteria; Enterobacterales; Enterobacteriaceae. RNAcentral also lists the same sequence under 1 other name.
GGGUUGUGAGGUUAAGCGACUAAGCGUACACGGUGGAUGCCCUGGCAGUCAGAGGCGAUGAAGGGCGUGCUAAUCUGCGAUAAGCGCCGGUAAGGUGAUAUGAACCGUUAUAACCGGCGAUACCCGAAUGGGGAAACCCAGUGUGACUCGUCACACUAUCAUUAACUGAAUCCAUAGGUUAAUGAGGCGAACCGGGGGAACUGAAACAUCUAAGUACCCCGAGGAAAAGAAAUCAACCGAGAUUCCCCCAGUAGCGGCGAGCGAACGGGGAGGAGCCCAGAGCCUGAAUCAGCAUGUGUGUUAGUGGAAGCGUCUGGAAAGGCGCGCGAUACAGGGUGACAGCCCCGUACACAAAAGCGCAUGUGCUGUGAGCUCGAUGAGUAGGGCGGGACACGUGGUAUCCUGUCUGAAUAUGGGGGGACCAUCCUCCAAGGCUAAAUACUCCUGACUGACCGAUAGUGAACCAGUACCGUGAGGGAAAGGCGAAAAGAACCCCGGCGAGGGGAGUGAAAAAGAACCUGAAACCGUGUACGUACAAGCAGUGGGAGCCCCACCACUAAGCCAGUGGUGAACUCCACAUACGCAUCCUUUGCUGAGGAUACGGUUAACGGAGCGCAAGCGACGUUCAACCGCAAAAGAAGCAGAGGGGGCUUAGUGGUGGGGUGACUGCGUACCUUUUGUAUAAUGGGUCAGCGACUUAUAUUCUGUAGCAAGGUUAACCGUAUAGGGGAGCCGGAGGGAAACCGAGUCUUAAUUGGGCGUUAAGUUGCAGGGUAUAGACCCGAAACCCGGUGAUCUAGCCAUGGGCAGGUUGAAGGUUGGGUAACACUAACUGGAGGACCGAACCGACUAAUGUUGAAAAAUUAGCGGAUGACCUGUGGCUGGGGGUGAAAGGCCAAUCAAACCGGGAGAUAGCUGGUUCUCCCCGAAAGCUAUUUAGGUAGCGCCUCGUGAAUUCAUCUCCGGGGGUAGAGCACUGUUUCGGCUAGGGGGCCAUCCCGGCUUACCAACCCGAUGCAAACUGCGAAUACCGGAGAAUGUUAUCACGGGAGACACACGGCGGGUGCUAACGUCCGUCGUGAAGAGGGAAACAACCCAGACCGCCAGCUAAGGUCCCAAAGUCAUGGUUAAGUGGGAAACGAUGUGGGAAGGCCCAGACAGCCAGGAUGUUGGCUUAGAAGCAGCCAUCAUUUAAAGAAAGCGUAAUAGCUCACUGGUCGAGUCGGCCUGCGCGGAAGAUGUAACGGGGCUAAACCAUGCACCGAAGCUGCGGCAGCGAACGUAUCACUUAAAGCGAUUCAGCGGGUUACGAUUGACGGAGCGAAGCGACGUCAAAGCGUAUACAAAGUCGAGUCGGUUUAAGGAUACGUUCGUUGGGUAGGGGAGCGUUCUGUAAGCCUGUGAAGGUGGCCUGUGAGGGUUGCUGGAGGUAUCAGAAGUGCGAAUGCUGACAUAAGUAGCGAUAAAGCGGGUGAAAAGCCCGCUCGCCGGAAGACCAAGGGUUCCUGUCCAACGUUAAUCGGGGCAGGGUGAGUCGACCCCUAAGGCGAGGCCGAAAGGCGUAGUCGAUGGGAAACGGGUUAAUAUUCCCGUACUUGGUGUUACUGCGAAGGGGGGACGGAGAAGGCUAUGUUGGCCGGGCGACGGUUGUCCCGGUUUAAGCGUGUAGGUGUGUGUUCCAGGUAAAUCCGGUUCACUUUAACACUGAGGCGUGAUGACGAGGCACUACGGUGCUGAAGCAACAAAUGCCCUGCUUCCAGGAAAAGCCUCUAAGCAUCAGGUAACACGAAAUCGUACCCCAAACCGACACAGGUGGUCAGGUAGAGAAUACCAAGGCGCUUGAGAGAACUCGGGUGAAGGAACUAGGCAAAAUGGUGCCGUAACUUCGGGAGAAGGCACGCUGACACGUAGGUGAAGUGAUUUACUCACGGAGCUGAAGUCAGUCGAAGAUACCAGCUGGCUGCAACUGUUUAUUAAAAACACAGCACUGUGCAAACACGAAAGUGGACGUAUACGGUGUGACGCCUGCCCGGUGCCGGAAGGUUAAUUGAUGGGGUCAGCGCAAGCGAAGCUCCUGAUCGAAGCCCCGGUAAACGGCGGCCGUAACUAUAACGGUCCUAAGGUAGCGAAAUUCCUUGUCGGGUAAGUUCCGACCUGCACGAAUGGCGUAAUGAUGGCCAGGCUGUCUCCACCCGAGACUCAGUGAAAUUGAACUCGCUGUGAAGAUGCAGUGUACCCGCGGCAAGACGGAAAGACCCCGUGAACCUUUACUAUAGCUUGACACUGAACAUUGAGCCUUGAUGUGUAGGAUAGGUGGGAGGCUUUGAAGUGUGGACGCCAGUCUGCAUGGAGCCGACCUUGAAAUACCACCCUUUAAUGUUUGAUGUUCUAACGUGGACCCGUAAUCCGGGUUGCGGACAGUGUCUGGUGGGUAGUUUGACUGGGGCGGUCUCCUCCUAAAGAGUAACGGAGGAGCACGAAGGUUGGCUAAUCCUGGUCGGACAUCAGGAGGUUAGUGCAAUGGCAUAAGCCAGCUUGACUGCGAGCGUGACGGCGCGAGCAGGUGCGAAAGCAGGUCAUAGUGAUCCGGUGGUUCUGAAUGGAAGGGCCAUCGCUCAACGGAUAAAAGGUACUCCGGGGAUAACAGGCUGAUACCGCCCAAGAGUUCAUAUCGACGGCGGUGUUUGGCACCUCGAUGUCGGCUCAUCACAUCCUGGGGCUGAAGUAGGUCCCAAGGGUAUGGCUGUUCGCCAUUUAAAGUGGUACGCGAGCUGGGUUUAGAACGUCGUGAGACAGUUCGGUCCCUAUCUGCCGUGGGCGCUGGAGAACUGAGGGGGGCUGCUCCUAGUACGAGAGGACCGGAGUGGACGCAUCACUGGUGUUCGGGUUGUCAUGCCAAUGGCACUGCCCGGUAGCUAAAUGCGGAAGAGAUAAGUGCUGAAAGCAUCUAAGCACGAAACUUGCCCCGAGAUGAGUUCUCCCUGAGACUUUAAGUCUCCUGAAGGAACGUUGAAGACGACGACGUUGAUAGGCCGGGUGUGUAAGCGCAGCGAUGCGUUGAGCUAACCGGUACUAAUGAACCGUGAGGCUUAACCUUACAACGCCGAAG